UACGGAGGGGGCGAGCGUUAUUCGGAAUUAUUGGGCGUAAAGAGCUCGUAGGCGGUGUGUCACGUCGGCCGUGAAAACCUGGGGCUCAACUCUGGGCGUGCGGUCGAUACGGGCAUCACUAGAGUUCGGCAGGGGAGACUGGAAUUCCUGGUGUAGCGGUGAAAUGCGCAGAUAUCAGGAGGAACACCGGUGGCGAAGGCGGGUCUCUGGGCCGAUACUGACGCUGAGGAGCGAAAGCAUGGGUAGCGAACAGG
This 254-nucleotide ribosomal RNA is filed under the name uncultured bacterium. RNAcentral describes it as "partial 16S ribosomal RNA". It matches the Rfam family "Bacterial small subunit ribosomal RNA", at positions 524 to 776 of the family's 1533-position model. The record is from RNAcentral.